RNAcentral lists this long non-coding RNA (1039 nucleotides) under Dicentrarchus labrax (European seabass). RNAcentral describes it as "lncRNA (ENSDLAG00005031677.1)". Lineage: Eukaryota; Metazoa; Chordata; Actinopteri; Moronidae. The record is from RNAcentral.
AUGAACAGAAAGAGGAAGUCCAAGAAAACAGAGGGACCCGGGAAGAGGAGCAGAAGGAGCCCCAGUCCCCCUGAGGCCUCCUUCUACAACGAACCUGGCACCUCCUCGUCAGCAUAUCCUGCCUACCUUGAUAGCAGUGCUGCCUUUGUGGACAAGUACGAGGAAGGGGAACUGCUGGGUGAAGUAGGCUUUGGAUCAGUCUUUGCUGGCUACUGCAAAGGGGACAAUAUGCCUGUAAGACUCAACACUUGCCAUACAACACACACACACACACACACAAUCUAUGAUUCAUGUAUCUGUACAUGGUAUAAGCUAAUCAAAUGUCUCUGUUUCUGCUCUGUAGAUGGCCAUUAAACAUAUCACCCAGUUUGGCAUUAAGCGCACACCAGUGGUAAGUGAUUUGCUCUUCGUCACGUAUCAACACAUAACAAUUCUUGACAUUUCUCCUUUUAAACCGACUAAAAAGUCAGAACACUUCUUACUUUUGGAUGUAUGUAUACAUGAAGGUUUCAUUAUUGGUGUUUCCUUCUCUUUCACUUGACUUAUAAAGCUUCUGGAUGGCAGAAUGUGCAAGGUCCCUGUGGAGGUGGCACUGGGACCAGUGUAGCCCUGGCCCUACUGGACUGGUACGAUCUGAACCACAAGCUGAUCCUCAUUCUGGAGAGACCAGUACCCGGCAUGGACCUCAUAGACUUUAUAAAUACUAGAGGGUCCCACCUGCAGGAGAAAGGCUAAAGUGAGUAGCUAGUGCCAUAUGUACUUCCAUGUUUCUGUAUGUGUCCACGCCCACCAUGUAACGCAGUUUGUUGUCUCUUUCUCUCUCCCUCAGACCAUAACCAAACAGAUGGUGGAUGCUCUGAUUGAAGUCAAGUCCAGUGGUGUGUUCCACAGGGACAUCAAGCUGGACAACAUUCUGAUUGAAACCGGCUCUGAGGUCCCACAAGUCAGAAUUAUUGACUUUGGCACAUUUCUGUCAGAAGAAGUGUACACAACAAAACAAGGUAGGCUGUCUUCUUAUAGUCAUGCUAAAGAAGCCAAA